Molecule: telomerase RNA, 111 nt
Filed under: Sporothrix schenckii ATCC 58251
Lineage: Eukaryota; Fungi; Ascomycota; Sordariomycetes; Ophiostomatales; Ophiostomataceae
Description: Ascomycota telomerase RNA
Rfam family: Ascomycota telomerase RNA
Source: Rfam by way of RNAcentral
GGCAGAGAAAUUUCCAGUUACUGGGAUGUCAUAUCCCGGUAGGCAAGGAACGUGGACCCAUGAGCCAGUAUGAUAAGAACCUCUGGCCUGAGGUCGCUCGUCAGGCAGCGU